GGACGAACGCUGGCGGCGUGCCUAAUACAUGCAAGUCGAGCGAACAGAAGGGAGCUUGCUCCCGGAUGUUAGCGGCGGACGGGUGAGUAACACGUGGGUAACCUGCCUGUAAGACUGGGAUAACUCCGGGAAACCGGAGCUAAUACCGGAUAGUUCCUUGAACCGCAUGGUUCAAGGAUGAAAGACGGUUUCGGCUGUCACUUACAGAUGGACCCGCGGCGCAUUAGCUAGUUGGUGGGGUAAUGGCUCACCAAGGCGACGAUGCGUAGCCGACCUGAGAGGGUGAUCGGCCACACUGGGACUGAGACACGGCCCAGACUCCUACGGGAGGCAGCAGUAGGGAAUCUUCCGCAAUGGACGAAAGUCUGACGGAGCAACGCCGCGUGAGUGAUGAAGGUUUUCGGAUCGUAAAGCUCUGUUGUUAGGGAAGAACAAGUGCGAGAGUAACUGCUCGCACCUUGACGGUACCUAACCAGAAAGCCACGGCUAACUACGUGCCAGCAGCCGCGGUAAUACGUAGGUGGCAAGCGUUGUCCGGAAUUAUUGGGCGUAAAGGGCUCGCAGGCGGUUUCUUAAGUCUGAUGUGAAAGCCCCCGGCUCAACCGGGGAGGGUCAUUGGAAACUGGGAAACUUGAGUGCAGAAGAGGAGAGUGGAAUUCCACGUGUAGCGGUGAAAUGCGUAGAGAUGUGGAGGAACACCAGUGGCGAAGGCGACUCUCUGGUCUGUAACUGACGCUGAGGAGCGAAAGCGUGGGGAGCGAACAGGAUUAGAUACCCUGGUAGUCCACGCCGUAAACGAUGAGUGCUAAGUGUUAGGGGGUUUCCGCCCCUUAGUGCUGCAGCUAACGCAUUAAGCACUCCGCCUGGGGAGUACGGUCGCAAGACUGAAACUCAAAGGAAUUGACGGGGGCCCGCACAAGCGGUGGAGCAUGUGGUUUAAUUCGAAGCAACGCGAAGAACCUUACCAGGUCUUGACAUCCUCUGACAACCCUAGAGAUAGGGCUUUCCCUUCGGGGACAGAGUGACAGGUGGUGCAUGGUUGUCGUCAGCUCGUGUCGUGAGAUGUUGGGUUAAGUCCCGCAACGAGCGCAACCCUUGAUCUUAGUUGCCAGCAUUUAGUUGGGCACUCUAAGGUGACUGCCGGUGACAAACCGGAGGAAGGUGGGGAUGACGUCAAAUCAUCAUGCCCCUUAUGACCUGGGCUACACACGUGCUACAAUGGACAGAACAAAGGGCUGCGAGACCGCAAGGUUUAGCCAAUCCCAUAAAUCUGUUCUCAGUUCGGAUCGCAGUCUGCAACUCGACUGCGUGAAGCUGGAAUCGCUAGUAAUCGCGGAUCAGCAUGCCCGCGGUGAAUACGUUCCC
RNAcentral lists this ribosomal RNA (1365 nucleotides) under Bacillus pumilus. RNAcentral's name for it is "bacterial SSU rRNA". It matches the Rfam family "Bacterial small subunit ribosomal RNA", at positions 27 to 1375 of the family's 1533-position model. The record is from RNAcentral. Lineage: Bacteria; Bacillati; Bacillota; Bacilli; Caryophanales; Bacillaceae.